Molecule: ribosomal RNA, 496 nt
Filed under: uncultured bacterium
Lineage: Bacteria
Description: partial 16S ribosomal RNA
Rfam family: Bacterial small subunit ribosomal RNA
Source: RNAcentral
GAUGAACGCUAGCGGCAGGCCUAAUACAUGCAAGUCGAGGGGUAGAGCUAGCUUGCUAGCUUGAGACCGGCGCACGGGUGCGUAACGCGUAUGCAACCUACCUCAAUCAGGGGGAUAUCCCGGAGAAAUCCGGAUUAACGCCGCCUAAAAACACAGGGUAGCAUUAACCAAUGUUCAAAUAUUUAUAGGAUUGGCAUGGGCAUGCGUGCCAUUAGCUAGUUGGCGGGGUAACGGCCAACCAAGGCGACGAUGGCUAGGGGAUCUGAGAGGAUGACCCCCCACACUGGUACUGAGACACGGACCAGACUCCUACGGGAGGCAGCAGUAAGGAAUAUUGGUCAAUGGGGGCAACCCUGAACCCGCCAUGCCGCGUGCAGGAUGACGGCCCUCCGGGUUGUAAACUGCUUUUGUACGGGAAUAAACCUUUCUUCGUGAAGAAAGCUGAAUGUACCGUAAGAAUAAGGAUCGGCUAACUCCGUGCCAGCAGCCGCAGUAA